GGCCGGUACAAAACGUCGCAAUCCCGCAAGGGGGAGCUAAUCGCUAAAACCGGUCUCAGUUCGGAUUGAAGUCUGCAACUCGACUUCAUGAAGUUGGAGUCGCUAGUAAUCGCAAAUCAGCAUGUUGCGGUGAAUACGUUCCCGGGUCUUGUACACACCGCCCGUCACAUCACGAAAGUAGGUUGUACUAGAAGUAGGAGGGCUAACUCGCAAGAGGGGCAUCUUACACGGUAUGAUUUAUGAUUGGGGUGAAGUCGUAACAAGGUAACC
Molecule: ribosomal RNA, 270 nt
Filed under: unidentified soil organism R6-68
Description: partial 16S ribosomal RNA
Rfam family: Bacterial small subunit ribosomal RNA
Source: RNAcentral